This 824-nucleotide ribosomal RNA is filed under the name uncultured Clostridia bacterium. RNAcentral's name for it is "bacterial SSU rRNA". It matches the Rfam family "Bacterial small subunit ribosomal RNA", at positions 58 to 889 of the family's 1533-position model. The record is from RNAcentral. Lineage: Bacteria; Bacillati; Bacillota; Clostridia.
CAAGUCGAACGAUGAAACUUAAAUGAUCUCUUCGGAGUGAACUUAAGUGGAUUAGUGGCGGACGGGUGAGUAACGCGUGAGUAACCUGCCUUAGAGAAGGGGAUAGCCUUUGGAAACGAAGAAUAAUACCCUAUGACACCAAAACCUCGCAUGAGGAUUUGGUCAAAGAUUUAUCGCUCUAAGAUGGACUUGCGUCUGAUUAGUUAGUUGGUGGGGUAACGGCCCACCAAGACAGCGAUCAGUAGCCGGCUUGAGAGAGUGUACGGCCACAUUGGGACUGAGACACGGCCCAGACUCCUACGGGAGGCAGCAGUGGGGAAUUUUGCACAAUGGGGGAAACCCUGAUGCAGCGACGCCGCGUGAUUUAGAAGGCCUUCGGGUUGUAAAAAUCUUUUCUAUGGGAAGAAAAUGACAGUACCAUAGGAAUAAGGACCGGCUAAUUACGUGCCAGCAGCCGCGGUAAUACGUAAGGUCCGAGCGUUGUCCGGAAUCAUUGGGCGUAAAGGGUACGUAGGCGGGUAAGCAAGUUAGAAGUGAAAUCCUAUAGCUCAACUAUAGUAAGCUUUUAAAACUGCUCAUCUUGAGGUAUGGAAGGGAAAGUGGAAUUCCUAGUGUAGCGGUGAAAUGCGCAGAUAUUAGGAGGAAUACCGGUGGCGAAGGCGACUUUCUGGCCAUAACCUGACGCUGAGGUACGAAAGCGUGGGUAGCAAACAGGAUUAGAUACCCUGGUAGUCCACGCCGUAAACGAUGAGUGUUAGGUGUCUGGAGUAAAUCUGGGUGCCGCAGCUAACGCAUUAAACACUCCGCCUGGGGAGUACGCGCGC